This is a long non-coding RNA of Macaca fascicularis (crab-eating macaque), 1680 nucleotides long. Lineage: Eukaryota; Metazoa; Chordata; Mammalia; Primates; Cercopithecidae. The record is from Ensembl.
UUUUUUGUAUUUUUUUUAGUAGGGACGAGGUUUCACCAUGUUGGCCAGGCUGGUCUCGAACUCCUGACCUCAGGUAAUUUGCCUGCCUUGACCUCUCAAAGCAUUGGGCAUUACAGGCGUGAGCCACGGUGCCCAGCCUCAGAGAAGACAAUCUUUCCACAUAUCAGAAGGGUUGGGGGUGAGGGGGAUGGUUUUGAGAUGAAACUUCCACCUCAGAUCAUCAGGCAUUAGAUUUUAAUAAGGAGCACGCAACCUAGAUCCUUCCUGUGUGCAGUUCACAAUAGGGUUUGCACUCCUAUGAGAAUCUAAUUCCACCACUGAUCUCAGGCGGUAAUGCUUGCUCACCCUGCUCGCCUACUGCUAUGCUACCUGCUUCCUAACAGGCCAUGGACCAGUACCAAUUUGCAGCCCAGGGGGUUGGGGACCCCUGGUUUAAGACACCCAGUUUGUAGUGCUUUCUUAGAGCAAACUGCCAACUAAUAUACCACCUAAAUGCCGAUGAUUACCAAUUCUCCAGCUCCAAUCUCUAAGCCCCAGGCCACUUCAGGCAUUGAAUAUCCUACUAAUUUGUGCCUGAGUCUUAAUUUACAAAGGUGGCUGAGUGAGGACAUGAAGAGGUCACUGCCAUUGAAAGAAAAGCUUAAUGUUAUUCACAGUUCCCCUAGAAACAAAAGGCACAGUCACAGGGGGAAGUGCCAGUGUCACACAGGAGGCAGAAAGGAGCGAGGGGAAGGUACAGGCCUUUACUGGGGUGUACUUCUCCCAGUAAGGCCGGAGAAGUGGUUUGGGGCUGCCUAGUUUGAAUAAUCCCAGAGCACUCUGGGGCACAGGGACUGGUACUAGUUACCUGGUCCUGGGUUGAUUUAGGGCAGGGGAGAUACUGGCUUGGAAUGUGAAAGUUAGAGAAAGGAAGUGACUCAGAGUAUGAGCUCUGGAUUGCAGGGAGAUGUAAAUAACCUUGGACAUUAGGUUGGCCCUGUGAUUUAUGGAUGCCAAAGAGACAAAUACAGAACCUAAGGAAACGCAGUUAAAACACUCACCAGCACCCCAUCCUCUACAUGUCUGUGUCUAAAUGCAUCAUCUUCCUCUUCAAAUCUUCCUCUCCUCUGUUUCCCUAUCCCAGGGAUGGGCACUUUAUGUCUGUGCAGUCGGAAACCUGGGGGCCAUCCGUGUUCCUCCUUCUUCCCCUGCCUCCAGUCUACCACCAGGUUCUAUCAAUUGUGCCUCUGAUCUUGAAGCUCUUCACUCCUCUCCUGGGUAUACUCCAGUCCAGGCAUCUUUUGAGCCUGGUGUUCUGUUAGCAGCCUCCCAGUGGCCUCUUUGCUUUUACUUUCCUCCUCCUCCAAUCUAUUCUCCCAGCAACUGAAUGAUUCUCCUAAAACAUAACUCAUGUCACUCUUCCCUUCUUAAAACCCUGCGAUGGCUUUCCUCUGACCUAGGAUAAACUGCAGCAAUUAUGUGGUCCUUGACCACCCACAUGUUCCAGCCACACCAAAUUUUCUGUUCCCUUAAGACAUCCUUCACCUCCAGGCUUUUGCCUAUGCUGCCCCAUCUGCUAGAACACCCUCCCAUGAAGUCCGGGCACCCCCACAGUGCUCCCAUGACAACUGGUACUUCCCUUGUGUGGACUCUGUUAAGCCCUGAUGACUUGUGAACCUCCUAUAAGCUUUACGGUAUACU